CGCUCUUCAACGAGGAAUCCCUAGUAAGCACAAGUCAUCAGCUUGUGCUGAUUACGUCCCUGCCCUUUGUACACACCGCCCGUCGCUACUACCGAUUGAAUGGCUUAGUGAGACCCUCGGAUUGACUUUUAUCGGCUGUAAAAGGCCUUUGAUUGAUGAAAAGUUGGUCAAACUUGGUCAUUUAGAGGAAGUAAAAGUCGUAACAAGGUUUCCGUAGGUGAACCUGCGGAAGGAUCAUUAUCAAUUCUAGCAAGUAACCCUUUAGGGUUCUUGCGCACGUAUUUAAAACCCCACACUUUUAUGAAAUUUUAUACAUAUUUUACUUUUAAUAAGUAAUUAAAAGAUCACUUUCAACAACGGAUCUCUUGGCUCUCGCAUCGAUGAAGAACGUAGCAAAGUGCGAUAAGUAGUGUGAAUUGCAGAAUUCCGUGGAUCAUCGAAUUUUUGAACGCAAAUUGCACUUUCUGGUAUUCCGGAGAGUAUGCCUGUUUGAGGGUCAGUAAAAUAAAAAAUCGAUUUUGUUACCUUAUCGUAACAUUUCGGAAUUGAGCUACCCUUAAAUUUUUUUAGGUUUUAAGUGGCUUAAAAAUUGAUCAUUUUUUUGGUAUGAUUUAAGCGUGCUAAUAUUACGUUUAAUGAGUAUCGAUGUUUAUUAGGUAUGACCAUGAUCAUGGUUUCGUGCCCAUAAUUUUUUUCAUGAAAUGACCUCAAAUCAGGUAGGAUUACCCGCUGAACUUAAGCAUAUCAAUAAGCGGAGGAAAAGAAAAUAACAAUGAUUCCCCUAGUAACGGCGAGCGAAGAGGGAAUAGCUCAAAUUUUAAAUCUGUUGGGUUUUUACCUAACCGAGUUGUAAUUUGAAGAAACGUUUUCUGCGUGUUGAUUUAGCCUAAAUCCUUUGGGAUAAGGUAUCAAGGGAGGGUGAGAAUCCCGUCUGGUUAGAUCAAGAUGCUUUACGAUACGUUUUCUAAGAGUCGAGUUGUUUGGGAAUGCAGCUCAAAAUGGGAGGUAAAUUUCUCCUAAGGCUAAAUAAAGGCGAGAGACCGAUAGCGAACAAGUACCGUGAGGGAAAGAUGAAAAGAACUUUGAAAAGAGAGUUAAACAGUACGUGAAAUUGUUGAAAGGGAAACGAUUGAAGUCAGUCGUACCGACGAGGAAUCAACCUUUUGAGGGUGGAUAUGUGGGAUUUAAAGUGCCUUUGUUUAUCGCAUCAUCUGCUUUUUUUGGGCGUACUUUUUCGUAUGGUAGGUUAACAUCGGUUUUGAUCGUUAUAAAAUGACUGGAGGAAUGUAGCUUUGAUCUUGUAUUGAAGUGUUAUAGCCUUUGGUAGAUGUAACGGUUAGGAUCGAGGAUUGCAAUGGAUACCCUCAUGGGCUAUCCGUCUGGCCUCUGAUUUGUCACUUUGGUGCUGAAAGCGUGCUUAUGGUAUUAAAGUGUACGGUCAUAAGGUUAGAACGGAAUAAAUUCAUUAAGGAUGUUGACGUAAUGGCUUUAAACGACCCGUCUUGAAACACGGACCAAGGAGUCUAACAUGUAUGCGAGUGUU
RNAcentral lists this ribosomal RNA (1543 nucleotides) under Glomus tetrastratosum. RNAcentral describes it as "eukaryotic LSU rRNA". The stretch from base 703 to 1543 matches the Rfam family "Eukaryotic large subunit ribosomal RNA", at positions 1 to 694 of the family's 3401-position model. The record is from RNAcentral. Lineage: Eukaryota; Fungi; Glomeromycota; Glomeromycetes; Glomerales; Glomeraceae.